ACUGUGUCUUAUAGUGCAAAUAAGCUCA
This 28-nucleotide non-coding RNA is filed under the name Mus musculus (house mouse). Lineage: Eukaryota; Metazoa; Chordata; Mammalia; Rodentia; Muridae. The record is from RNAcentral.